GGGAGUUCCCAGGGUCUGCUCUUCCACUGGGGAGUGGAAGAGAGAUAUCCUGUUCAAGGCUGGUUCAGCCACCAGCUAGAUUCAGGAGCCCUGACUCCUGAUGGAAUGGUGAACCAGGGUGGAAACCAGGACAUGAAAUAAGGCUGCAGAAACUACGUGCUGAAAGGAAUAUAGUUGUGUGGGGAAUCUAGUAUGUCAACAUCACCAGUGUAGCGUUUACUGCAUGCAAGAACUUUCCAGCAGUCCCUGGGGAACACUUCCUCUAAUCCCUUGCUAACUAAAAUGAAGUGUGGCAUCAGCCCAGCAGCGGCAGUGCCCCCCGGAGGUGUUAGAAAGGCAGAACUUCAGGCUCUACCUUGGAGCUGCUGAAUCUGAAUCUCAUUUAACAAGAUCCUCAGGAGAAGCAAAUGCACUGUCCUACCACAGUCUUCAUAACAUUCUUCCAGGGACAAGUCCAUCUGCAAGAUGCAGAAAUGAGCAUUGAUCUGGGGGAAUUUGAUCAGCAAUAAUCAAUCCCUCUAGCCACAGGAACUGGUGCCUGAUAAUAACAUAAUGCAAAGCAAGGCAAUAAGCCUCUAGCAAGCCUACUGACUUGACUUGGAAAAUCUGUGGAGUUUUGACUCACUAUCAGCUACAGCUGGAGCAGUGUGCAGCGUGAUGCAUGUGCUCAGUGCACGGCUGCUUAAAUGAGAGGACACACACAUCAACUCCCCUUAUACAGAGGAGGAAAAGGAGCUUUGUAAAAGGACAUGGCAGUAAACCUCCCGUCUGAGCCUGUAGCUCAUGCCUUUGCAUGUUUCAGCAAGAAUGAAGAAUAUCAGUCAAGAGUUUCCACAUCACGCCUGCCAGGGCUAUACCCUGGGUAUUUACAGAGUCGAGGACACUGAGACCAAUAUAACAGUUUCAGGCCUCAUCAACAGCAGGGAGAACCACAAAUCACAAACUUCUUUUGCACUGGGAAAGGUGUUGCCAUGGGAACAGGGCUGCUGGCCAUUUGGCCAUCUCACUCAUCUCUAGAGGAAGGCAGGUGAGGAAGGAACUCUGAGAGCAAAGAAAAUUGCUGGACUCUCACGGCCAGGCAUUUCAUUGUAUAGUCCUGGCAACGUGACCCUAAUGAGAAGAAGUCCAUACUUCAGUUUUGGUUUAGAAUUCAGUGACAGUUUGAUUGUGGGCUCAACCUCUUCUGCUUCCAUUGGAAUGUGAGUUACAUGCUGAAUUAAUGAGCAAAAACAUUAAGGCUUUGAGUCUGUUUUGCGCUUUCCUAGU
Molecule: long non-coding RNA, 1266 nt
Filed under: Homo sapiens (human)
Lineage: Eukaryota; Metazoa; Chordata; Mammalia; Primates; Hominidae
Description: HSALNT0355920
Source: RNAcentral